This 255-nucleotide ribosomal RNA is filed under the name uncultured bacterium. RNAcentral's name for it is "partial 16S ribosomal RNA". The record is from RNAcentral.
CUGCUGCCUUCCGUAGGAGUUUGGGCCGUGUCUCAGUCCCAAUGUGGCCGUUCACCCUCUCAGGCCGGCUACUGAUCGUCGCCUUGGUGGGCCUUUACCCCGCCAACUAGCUAAUCAGACGCGGAUCCAUCGUAUACCACCAAAAGCUUUAGCUUUUUGUUUUCCACACUGCUUCAUGCGAAGCUGUGCGCUUAUGCGGUAUUAGCACCUAUUUCUAAGUGUUAUCCCCCAGUAUACGGCAGGUUCUCCACGUCG